Molecule: ribosomal RNA, 441 nt
Filed under: uncultured bacterium
Lineage: Bacteria
Description: partial 16S ribosomal RNA
Rfam family: Bacterial small subunit ribosomal RNA
Source: RNAcentral
CCUACGGGUGGCAGCAGUGGGGGAUAUUGCACAAUGGGGGGAACCCUGAUGCAGCGACGCCGCGUGGGUGAAGGAGUGCUUCGGCAUGUAAAGCCCUAUCGGCAGGGAAGAAGCAAGACGGUACCUGACUAAGAAGCCCCGGCUAACUACGUGCCAGCAGCCGCGGUAAUACGUAGGGGGCGAGCGUUAUCCGGAUUCACGGGGUGUAAAGGGAGCGUAGACGGCCAGGCAAGCCAGGGGGGAAAGCCCGGGGCCCAAACCCGGGACUGCCCUUGUAACUGUGCGGCUAGAGUGCGGGAGGGGCAGGCGGAAUGCCUGGUGUAGCGGUGAAAUGCGUAGAUAUCAGGAGGAACACCGGCGGCGAAGGCGGCCUGCUGGACUGCGACUGACGUUGAGGCUCGAAAGCGUGGGGAGCGAACAGGAUUAGAUACCCCUGUAGUC